GUUAGCGGCGGACGGGUGAGUAACACGUAGGCAACCUGCCUGUAAGAUCGGGAUAACUACCGGAAACGGUAGCUAAGACCGGAUAGGUGGUUUCUUCGCAUGAAGGGAUCAAGAAACACGGGGCAACCUGUGGCUUACAGAUGGGCCUGCGGCGCAUUAGCUAGUUGGUGGGGUAACGGCCCACCAAGGCGACGAUGCGUAGCCGACCUGAGAGGGUGAUCGGCCACACUGGGACUGAGACACGGCCCAGACUCCUACGGGAGGCAGCAGUAGGGAAUCUUCCGCAAUGGACGCAAGUCUGACGGAGCAACGCCGCGUGAGUGAUGAAGGUUUUCGGAUCGUAAAGCUCUGUUGCCAAGGAAGAACGCCUCGGAGAGUAACUGCUCCGGGGGUGACGGUACUUGAGAAGAAAGCCCCGGCUAACUACGUGCCAGCAGCCGCGGUAAUACGUAGGGGGCAAGCGUUGUCCGGAAUUAUUGGGCGUAAAGCGCGCGCAGGCGGCCGCUUAAGUUUGGUGUUUAAGCCCGGGGCUCAACCCCGGUUCGCACCGAAAACUGGGCGGCUUGAGUGCAGGAGAGGAAAGCGGAAUUCCACGUGUAGCGGUGAAAUGCGUAGAGAUGUGGAGGAACACCAGUGGCGAA
Molecule: ribosomal RNA, 641 nt
Filed under: Paenibacillus xylanisolvens
Lineage: Bacteria; Bacillati; Bacillota; Bacilli; Caryophanales; Paenibacillaceae
Description: bacterial SSU rRNA
Rfam family: Bacterial small subunit ribosomal RNA
Source: RNAcentral